GCAAAGAAUGAAGUGGUUGAAGCUUCAAUGGCCAUUCUAUUGUGAUAAGGAAUACCAAAAUUUUCCCCUUGAUAUGGUUAUGGACAUACGAUAUUGCACUCGUAAGUUAUACAUGGUUAUGGAGUGUACUAGGAAGGUAUUUGAGUGGACCAUUAAUUGCUUAAACUAUAUAUAUAUAUUUUUUUCUUGUUUGUAUCAUGUUGCUGCAUUUCAGGGAAGUUAUCAUACCCAUUUCAUCAGAUGUCUUGCAACUUUUUGCUUUGAUAUUGUAUUUUGGUAUUGGUUGGCAAAAUUCUCUCAUUCAUGUUGAAUUUUGUGAUACCUAAGUGGUAAAACUUAGCAGCUAUAAGUGGAAUUGUUGUGGAGGCGGCUGCAAUUCUGUGAAUAAAAUCCUUCGAUUUAAGAGUUCAAAA
RNAcentral lists this unclassified non-coding RNA (413 nucleotides) under Hevea brasiliensis (rubber tree). The record is from RNAcentral. Lineage: Eukaryota; Viridiplantae; Streptophyta; Magnoliopsida; Malpighiales; Euphorbiaceae.